UAGGGAAUCUUCCGCAAUGGGCGAAAGCCUGACGGAGCAACGCCGCGUGAGUGAUGAAGGUCUUCGGAUCGUAAAACUCUGUUAUUAGGGAAGAACAAAUGUGUAAGUAACUAUGCACGUCUUGACGGUACCUAAUCAGAAAGCCACGGCUAACUACGUGCCAGCAGCCGCGGUAAUACGUAGGUGGCAAGCGUUAUCCGGAAUUAUUGGGCGUAAAGCGCGCGUAGGCGGUUUUUUAAGUCUGAUGUGAAAGCCCACGGCUCAACCGUGGAGGGUCAUUGGAAACUGCAAAACUUGAGUGCAGAAGAGGAAAGUGGAAUUCCAUGUGUGGCGUUGAAAUGCGCAGAGAUAUGGAGGAACACCAUUGGCGAAGGCGACUUUCUGGUCUGUAACUGACGCUGAUGUGCGAAGGCGUGGGGAUCAAACAGG
RNAcentral lists this ribosomal RNA (429 nucleotides) under Actinomycetes bacterium. RNAcentral describes it as "Actinobacteria bacterium partial 16S ribosomal RNA". It matches the Rfam family "Bacterial small subunit ribosomal RNA", at positions 355 to 776 of the family's 1533-position model. The record is from RNAcentral. Lineage: Bacteria; Bacillati; Actinomycetota; Actinomycetes.